CUUCGUGCUCGGAGCACUUUGAAUACACAAGUUCCUCAUGGAUCACUGAAGUUAAGCAACGUUGCUCGUGGUUAGUAUCCGAACGAGUGAUUAUCGGGGCAAUCUCGUGCUGCUGAUU
Molecule: ribosomal RNA, 118 nt
Filed under: Diaphorina citri (Asian citrus psyllid)
Lineage: Eukaryota; Metazoa; Arthropoda; Insecta; Hemiptera; Psyllidae
Source: RNAcentral